AGUUUGAUCCUGGCUCAGAGUGAACGCUGGCGGCAGGCCUAACACAUGCAAGUCGAACGGCAGCACAGUAAGAGCUUGCUCUUAUGGGUGGCGAGUGGCGGACGGGUGGGGAAUACAUCGGAAUCUACUCUUUCGUGGGGGAUAACGUAGGGAAACUUACGCUAAUACCGCAUACGACCUACGGGUGAAAGCGGAGGACCUUCGGGCUUCGCGCGGUUGAAUGAGCCGAUGUCGGAUUAGCUAGUUGGCGGGGUAAAGGCCCACCAAGGCGACGAUCCGUAGCUGGUCUGAGAGGAUGAUCAGCCACACUGGAACUGAGACACGGUCCAGACUCCUACGGGAGGCAGCAGUGGGGAAUAUUGGACAAUGGGCGCAAGCCUGAUCCAGCCAUGCCGCGUGGGUGAAGAAGGCCUUCGGGUUGUAAAGCCCUUUUGGCGGGAAAGAAACGGCGUCGACUAAUACUCGGCGUAACUGACGGUACCCGCAGAAUAAGCACCGGCUAACUACGUGCCAGCAGCCGCGGUAA
RNAcentral lists this ribosomal RNA (526 nucleotides) under uncultured bacterium. Its description in RNAcentral is "bacterial SSU rRNA". It matches the Rfam family "Bacterial small subunit ribosomal RNA", at positions 10 to 523 of the family's 1533-position model. The record is from RNAcentral.